AAGCUCGUAGUUGAAUUUCGGGGUUAGUAGGUUGGUCAUGCCUCUGGUAUGUACUGAUCUCACUGACUCCUCCUUCCUUAUGAACCGUAAUGCCAUUAAUUUGGUGUUGCGGGGAAUUUGGACUGUUACUUUGAAAAAAUUAGAGUGUUUAAAGCAGGCUAACGCUUGAAUACAUUAGCAUGGAAUAAUGAAAUAGGACGUUCGAUCUUAUUUUGUUUGGUUUCUAGGAUUGACGUAAUGAUUAAUAGGGAUAGUUGGG
This 259-nucleotide ribosomal RNA is filed under the name uncultured Glomus. RNAcentral's name for it is "partial 18S ribosomal RNA". It matches the Rfam family "Eukaryotic small subunit ribosomal RNA", at positions 624 to 886 of the family's 1831-position model. The record is from RNAcentral. Lineage: Eukaryota; Fungi; Glomeromycota; Glomeromycetes; Glomerales; Glomeraceae.